GAUGAACGCUGGCGGCGUGCCUAAUACAUGCAAGUCGAGCGAACAGACGAGGAGCUUGCUCCUCUGACGUUAGCGGCGGACGGGUGAGUAACACGUGGAUAACCUACCUAUAAGACUGGGAUAACUUCGGGAAACCGGAGCUAAUACCGGAUAAUAUAUUGAACCGCAUGGUUCAAUAGUGAAAGACGGUUUUGCUGUCACUUAUAGAUGGAUCCGCGCCGCAUUGCUAGUUGGUAAGGUAACGGCUUACCAAGGCGACGAUGCGUAGCCGACCUGAGAGGGUGAUCGGCCACACUGGAACUGAGACACGGUCCAGACUCCUACGGGAGGCAGCAGUAGGGAAUCUUCCGCAAUGGGCGAAAGCCUGACGGAGCAACGCCGCGUGAGUGAUGAAGGUCUUCGGAUCGUAAAGCUCUGUUAUUAGGGAAGAACAAAUGUGUAAGUAACUAUGCACGUCUUGACGGUACCUACUCAGAAAGCCACGGCUAACUACGUG
RNAcentral lists this ribosomal RNA (496 nucleotides) under uncultured bacterium. RNAcentral's name for it is "partial 16S ribosomal RNA". It matches the Rfam family "Bacterial small subunit ribosomal RNA", at positions 28 to 507 of the family's 1533-position model. The record is from RNAcentral.